AUUACUAAGCGGAGGAAAAGAAACUAACUAGGAUUCCCUCAGUAGCUGCGAGCGAACAGGGAAGAGCCCAGCACCGAAUCCCGCGGCCGAUACCGGGCGCCGGGAAAUGUGGUGUUAGGGAGGAUCCGUUUAUCCCGAGGUCGUGCGGUGCGUCCAAGUCCUUCUUGAACGGGGCCACAGCCCAUAGAGGGUGCCAGGCCCGUAGCGACCGCUGCCGAUCGCGGGAGGAUCUCUCCUCAGAGUCGGGUUGCUUGAGAGUGCAGCCCUAAGUGGGUGGUAAACUCCAUCUAAGGCUAAAUAUGACCACGAGACCGAUAGCGAACAAGUACCGUGAGGGAAAGUUGAAAAGCACUUUGAAGAGAGAGUUCAAGAGUACGUGAAACCGUUCAGGGGUAAACCUGAGAAACCCGAAAGGUCGAAAGGGGAAAUUCAUUCGCGUCUCGACCGUCGGAGCGGAGCGUUCGUGCGACGGACGGCGUACGCGUCGUCCGCGCCUUUCGUUCCGCGAUCCGGCGUCGAACGCGUGCACUUUUCCCCUAGUAGGACGUCGCGAUCCGUUGGGUGUCGGUCUAAGGCUCGCGGUGGAGCCCGAGCGUGCGUCUUCGGACGUUCGCGCUCGGACCCGCGGUGUCCCGGCCGACCCGCUCGACGGUAUACAGAUGGCGCGGGGCCGCAAAUUCAAUUUGCGUUCGGCCCGCGGCAAGCGCGUACGGUGUUGACGGCGAUCGGACCCGGUGCCGAUCCCGUCCCCGGACGACUGUUGGCCGCGGUGCUCUCGAACAGACCUCGUUCUCGAAACGCCGAUCUGCGACGCUAUAGCUUUGGGUACUUUCAGGACCCGU
This 842-nucleotide ribosomal RNA is filed under the name Dorcadion lineatocolle. Its description in RNAcentral is "partial large subunit ribosomal RNA". It matches the Rfam family "Eukaryotic large subunit ribosomal RNA", at positions 42 to 652 of the family's 3401-position model. RNAcentral also lists the same sequence under 2 other names. Lineage: Eukaryota; Metazoa; Arthropoda; Insecta; Coleoptera; Cerambycidae. The record is from RNAcentral.